This 253-nucleotide ribosomal RNA is filed under the name uncultured bacterium. RNAcentral describes it as "partial 16S ribosomal RNA". It matches the Rfam family "Bacterial small subunit ribosomal RNA", at positions 524 to 776 of the family's 1533-position model. The record is from RNAcentral.
UACGGGGGGGGCAAGCGUUGUUCGGAAUUACUGGGCGUAAAGGGCGCGUAGGCGGGUGGACAAGUCUCUCGUGAAAGCCCACGGCUCAACCGUGGAAUUGCGGGAGAUACUGUCUGGCUUGAGUCCGGGAGAGGAGGGUGGAAUUCCCAGUGUAGCGGUGAAAUGGGUAGAUAUUGGGAGGAACACCGGUGGCGAAGGCGGCUCUCUGGACAGGUACUGACGCUGAGGCGCGAAAGCUACGGGAGCAAACGGG